This is a long non-coding RNA of Leopardus geoffroyi (Geoffroy's cat), 6283 nucleotides long. RefSeq lists it as uncharacterized. NCBI's taxonomy places the organism in Eukaryota, Metazoa, Chordata, Mammalia, Carnivora, Felidae. The record is from RefSeq and is a predicted model, not a curated record. The transcript has 3 exons.
UUUACCUCUGUUGAAAAUAUGUUAUAGAUUUUACUCACUUGCAAUUCUCAAUGAAUUUUGGGUAGGAAAGAAAGGGAUAGAGUUCAUAUUGUUUUCCAGUAAAAUUCAAAGCCUCUUUACUUGUGUCAUAGCCCGUAGCAGUGUGGAACCCAUAUGAAAUUAUGUAUCAAGUCCUGGCAAAAGCCCGAGAAUUGUGGAUCUGCUCUAAAGUGGAAAUAUGAACAGUUCAGAUUCAGUCUACUUUCUUCAUAUAACAUUAGCAAGAGAAUUCCAGGCACAGCACCUGACCAACUUCGGGAGAACAAAGCCUCCAUCUGGACCGAAGGGAAAGGGAGCUGGUCGCCCGUGGAGCAGCAAAGAACAAGGCUCUGCUUCCCUUUGAAGCGCUGGCAUUCUUCUUAAUCACCUGGCAAAGUCUUAAUUUAAAGAGGGACUCUUGGAGAAGGGGGAAUCUCAAGUAUAUUUGACUUUCAUAUCAAAUCUACUUACCUUUCAUCAGGUUUAUUAAAAUUGGUGAUGUGUUAAUUGUGAACCCUGUUUGUAUCUGAAUAGGAAGUGCUGCCUUUGGGCCCCCCCUCCUUGCUGUUUUGUCUUAGGAUACACUCACAUUGCUGCCUUUGCCAUGGAGUAAUUAUUUCUGGGGAGACAUACUGUGAUGUCAGGCUACUGGGUUACAGUUGUUGCAGGGUAAACACAAGAGGACAUUAGACUCUUAGAAUGCCUAAUUAGAAGGAAAGUAAGUGCAUUGCUGGAUAGCUGAAAAAUACAAGCCUAAGUAGUAUUGCAUUUUUCACCAGUGGAUGCUACAUGCAUUGGUAUAUUUUAUAUCUUUACUCUUAGGAAGUAAACAUCAUAAAGGAAUUCUCUUGCCUUUUUAGAAAGAUACUUGUGAAAUUCACUUUGGAGGGAUAUAUAAAAUCCAUAAAGUUAUGGUAUCGGGAGGAGUAUUCAGUUCUACACGACGAGUGUGGAAAUUGUCAGUGAUUCUAAUACAUGCGCCUCAUCCAAAUUCCACCAUGGAGUGCGUUUUUAAAGAAUAGGGGAUAAGUGAUUUUUUUAUUUUAUACAGGUAUUGGGUCCUGGAUGCAGCCAUGUGCUGGAGAUACAAGAAACAUAACGCAGUUAUUGUCAUAAAGAGUUUGUGAUCUAUAUGUGGGAAACGAAAUCAUCCGGGAACACAAGUACAAACAUAGAAUUGAACAUCACAAAUAUCAAUGGGAAAUCAGACUAAGAAAAUUUUAGUCAAAGAAAUAGGUGACUGGGCUCAUGGAAUUGCAGUUAGAGAUCAACUUUAAAAGUUGUAGAGCUAUGAAAAGAGGGAUGUGGAUGGUGUGUUCUUACUGUCGAUGAAGUAAAAAAGAAAAUGUGUGUAGGAGUAAGCCAGCUGAGUUUCUAGUGAGGACUCUCACCAUGUCAUAGUAGGAGUUUUGAAAUGAUCUCUGGAUAAAUGAAGGCAUCUUUAGUCAGUUAUCAGAUUUGAAAUUAAAGGUGAAUGUCGACUUUUGAUUUUGAGUGGAGUGUGUGUGUGUGUGUGUGUGUGUGUGCAUUUUCACUAAACUUGCUCUCUUCUCACAUGAUGAGGUGGUACCCAACUACAGCUCCUUGGUCCAUGACCCAUACUCCAAAAUUUUCCUCGCUUUUUUCCUUCUCAGCAACCUUUCCUUUCAGGGCCUGUUUCCAGCUGACAGGGUGGGAGAAUGAUCAACAAAAUGAAUUUACCCUAGGUUGUAUACAUAUGACUGCAAUAACGAAUGAUGCUUCUCCCAAGACUGUUUAUAUUUGCAAAGGGUGUUCCCAACUCAAAGAAACAAUGGGAUGUCCCUUCAAGGAGUGGAUGACUGAGGAGCACUUUUGGGGAAUAGGAGGACAUCCCAGUGUCCCUCAGUUCUCUCCACAUCAGUUGCUGUCUACCUACAGCAAUGUAUGCUCGGACAGAAAAGAACUUGUGUCUCAGGCCCACAGACAUUCACAGGCUUAUAAGCAAUGGUGUCUGUCACAUUGGGUGUUGGGAGUAGAGAGAUGGGCGGGGAGGUGUUGCUCACAAAAUCCCAUUUAGGGAAUUAUUUAUUAUUCUAGUUUGUCGUUUAUGCUUAUAGCAUCUGUAAUAAAUAAACACGCUCCAGAAGAAAGCACAACUUAACAAGGAGUAGAUGAGAUUGAAUGUGACGACUCCAGCCCUGUACGAGAGGCACUGGCCCAUUAAAUGAAGGCGCACAGCUACUUCUUAAUGCUCUCCCUAAGUAAUCAAUUUCUGAAAAUACCAAAUAAUUUUAAAACAGCCCUGUCUGACCUCACUCUCCAGUGACGUUGGACCAGCCCUUGCUGAUUUGCCUACCUGGUUUUUAAUCAAUCAGAUUUGACAUUUUUGGUUUUGUUUUGUUUUAUUUUGUUUCUUCCCCUUGCCUACACUGGCACCUUUUCUCUUCCCUUGGCAAAAUUAAAUGGCAUCUGCCCUCCCUCAAGGUUAGGGACCCAAAACAUAGCUUAAUAUUUAUAGGUUUGGACGUCUUUUGAAAUAGCAGCAGAGGAAUCUAAAUGCCAUUGCAAGAGGGUAGAACAUUCUGAUGCUGUACUAGGAUUUGAUUUCUAUCCAGAUAAAAAGACCCAGGAUGCCCAGAGUCUGAACACAGAUGGAACUUGAGGAAGAGAAACUGUCAGCCUGAAAUAUCUUCUAUCAGACUUUCGAACAGAGUAUGAUUCAAGCAAAAGAGUUAAAAAAAAUGUGAUUUGAGCCUACUUUCUCUUUUUGACUGAUUAAAUUCUCCAGGUCAUUUUAAAACUACUUUUUUUUCUCAUUUCCCAGCUCGUAGAAGAUAAUAUUUGUGAAAGAGGCUUAUAGAUUAUAAUUUUUAAAUAUAUAUUGUAUUAUAUAACCAUCCUAUUUGUUUCUUUUUUGAUCUCCUUUCCCUCUUACUGCUUCCUCCUUUCUGUAUUCUUUUAAUCUUCUUAUUUCCCCUCUUCUUCUUCCUUUUGUAGUCAUCCUUCAAGUAUAAUUACAUGUAUUUGUUAUGAAUUGAAUAUUUGUGUGCCCCCAAAAUUCAUAUGUUGAAACCUAAGUCACAACAUGGCAAUGUUUGGAAUUGGGCUUUUGGGAAAUGAUGAGGUCAUGAGGGUGGAACCCUCAUGAAUGGCAUUAGUGCCUUUCUAAGAGUUCCCAGAGAGUUCUUUCACUCCUUGUGAAAACACAUGUAAGAACAGAGAGAAGAUGGCUGUCUGUGAGCCGGGAAAUGGGUCCCCUCCAGACACUGAAUCUUCCAGAAUGCUGAUCUUAGACUUCUCAGGCAACAGAAGUACAUUUCAAAAAUAAAUUUCUAUUGUUCAUAAGGACCCAGUCGAUGGCAUUUUGUUACAGUAGCCUGAACAGAGACUAAGUCAGAAUCAUAAUGUGUCUUGGUGUGUUGGCCAUACUGAAGGUGGCAGAAAGGGAGUUACCACAGAAGUUAUGGGAGUUCAUAAUUUCAUACUGGGGAGAGGGGGAGGCAAGGUUAGUAAGAUCAAUUUAGUAAUAUUAAUAAGAUUAGAAGCGAUUCUCUGUUUAAAAAAAUUAAAAUGCUUUAGACGGGGGAAGAAAUUGCUUUGACAGAUGAGAAGAUGGCAAUUCAGGAAAAAAUUCAGAUUCUCAGGAAGCUAGUAGUUACUGAAAAAUUAAUUGUGACAAUAUGGGAUAUGCCUAAGUAGUAAAUGAUUGUGAAACACUGGCUCACACAGAAGCUCUGUGUUUAUUCUAAAAUUGCUAGAACGCAUGGGCCAAGAUCUUUGCAUGUUCAAUGUACAUAACCUUAACAAGUGUUGGAGGUCAACAGUUACACUACUAGCAAAGAAGGUAUAUCUGAAUGAGUGGCUUGGGGGACUUUCUGGUUGGGACAUAGCCAAAAUGAUGGCUAGAUAAGGCAAUGACAUGAAUACGAAUUAUGUUAAAUGAUAUAUGCACUAGACAAACUGUAGAUGGCAAAACCUGAAAUGAGAGUUCAUAUAAAGUGUUAACCAAAUAAGGAGAUGAAACAGGUGAUACGUCAUGGCAGGUAUCAGAAACCACAGCCUGUGGGUUAAAUCCAGCUGGCUGAGUGUUUUUAUAUGGUUCUUGAGCUAAUUGCUUCCACAGUUUUAAAUGGUUGGAAAGCAAUCAAAAGAAUCCUAUUAGGUGACAACUGAAAAUUAUAUGAAAUUCUAAUUUUAGUGUCCACAAAUAAAGUUUUCUUGGAUCACAGCCAUGCUCAAUUUGUAUUGGCCUAUGGCUACUUUCAGUGGAAGAGUUUAGUUGUUGCCACAGCGACUUCAUAGCCUGCAAAGCCUAAAAUGUUUGCCGAAAACAUUUCCUACUCCUCCUCCCUAAGUUCUGAUUUGGGGGAUUCUGGAUCCUUGUCCAUAUAUUGAAUUUAAUUAAGCAGGUAUUUGUUGAGUGCCUGCUAUUUUUGGUGGUACUGAAAUGUCUGAAGUUAGAUUGCAAAUGUCUGUUCCUUUGAGAUUUCUGUGAUAGGCAAAAAUCAGUAUGGGAUUUUACCAUAUGUCCAGUCUAGGAAUGAUAUGGAGUGGGAAGCACUAAGACCCUGUGAAAGUUUUUUAGUUUCAAAGAAAGGGAAGGACAUGCUAAAGAAGAACACGCCAUGAGUUUUACACAAGAAUUGUCAGGAAACAUGAUACAUUCCAGGACCGAGGACACACUUGAAAUGGACUGAACAUGGUCUAAGUGCAAGUAGGAAGUGGAUGUACCAAGGUUAAAAGGAAGCAUCAGUUUGGCCAGAUGAUGAAGAACUUUCAUGUGAGGCUAAGUAUUUGGAUUUUGCUCAUGGUGAAGGAGGAUGAAUUUGUUCUUUGGUUUUUUGUUUGUUUGUUUUUUUAAUCUCAAAUUGAUUGUGAAGAAGAGAGGAUCUGGCAUCUAUUUCAGAAAAAGAACCAAUGAAAUUCGCUAACAACUGGAGUUGGGUGGUAAAGAGAUAGAUAUAGGGAGGUUUCUGGAUGGGGUGCCUGCAUGGAUGAAGUCUUCCUAAAAUGGUAAAUGUAGGUAGGGAGCAAGAGUGUGGGGAGAAUGAAGUUUGUCCUAUUAGGUUAUGUACUUUGUGGAAGAAUCAUGGGCACAGAUUUAAGCACAGGGAAGUCUCUGAGAGAACAAGAAGGGUUGAGAAUUAUGAGUGUACAAUGGGAGUUGAAGCCAUGGGGUGCAUGGGGCUUCCCAGGGAGGGCGUAUCAAAUGCAGGGCAAAGGGAUCAGGGAGAGUAAUCAGAACAAUAAUACCAUUAAAGAGUUCUCAAAGGGAUUCAAUAUCAAAUCUACCUUAAGCCUCCUUAAGACCUUGUGGAACUGAGACCUGGGCUAUGUACCUGUGUCUGAGUAAAAGGGAAAAGGUUUAUAAACGGUCACAUGCAUGUCACGAAAGAUGACUCUGGCCACACUCACCAUUUUGGCCAGAGUCCUCCUGGUGCUCCUGCUUCCUAAUCAUGAGCUUAAUUUCCUGAAGCUAAAAAUGAAAAUAAAGAUCUUAUACAGAACAGGCUGACGUCAACUUGCCCACUGCUCCUGGGACAGCAACCUCUCUUCCAGCCCCAAUUAGUUUCAUUGUCAUUUUUCGAUUCCUCCCCCAGUUUCCAGGCUGAUCAUACUUUGUUUUCCACCAUCUCCCUUUAUUUCUUCCUUUUCCAGUUGCUAAGCACUCCCUUGUUGCUAAGUGGGAUAUGAGCACUUAAUUUACUCCAUUCUUUUUUCUCGUACCAGAUUUUAGAAAUUGCAGAUCCUGUUUAAUCAAUGUGUAAAUGCAAUGCUUUUGAUGUAUUUUUCCUAAGAGCAAUAUUUUGAUCAUUCUUAAUGAUACUUAAUGAAGUCACCGCAUGAUUUCUGAUUGUACCUAAUUGAAGCUUGUGACUUGCAUUUCAAUAUUAUCAUCUUACAGCUUUAGGUCUAUGAGAUGAAAUUUUUCCAGGGCCCAAAAAUAUUAGAAAAUAUGAAGAAGUGAUGUUUUGUUUUAAAUUGAAAAUUAUUCUACAAUAGAUGUAUGUGAAUGUGGAUGUAUAUAUAUGAAAUUAAAUGAAAACUGAAACAAAUUUCACAAAAUGAGUUCCAUGUAUGAUGAUAAAGGAAGCAAUCUCUUUGAUAGGAAGUUUAACCACUAAUUUUAAGUCUUAAAGGAAUCUGAAAGGCCUUAAUAUUUAAUAUUUUGAUAUAAAUCCUAUGCUUAACUGCAUAUUAAAUCCAGCAUGUAAGCAAAUUCUGGCCCUUGAAAAAGAUAAUAAAUUGGGUUUUACUCUUUUUUGCAGAGUUUUUUUUUUUUAAGUUUAUUUAUUUUGAGAGA